RNAcentral lists this long non-coding RNA (815 nucleotides) under Prunus persica (peach). RNAcentral describes it as "long non-coding RNA (PPER_LNC007676)". Lineage: Eukaryota; Viridiplantae; Streptophyta; Magnoliopsida; Rosales; Rosaceae. The record is from RNAcentral.
AAUUCCAAAGAUUAUUCGGAAGAGAAAAAUUGGGUUCAAUUGUAAAAAUAUUUUCUGAUACAUUCCUUCGAUAUAUAUUGGAAUUUAUUUCAGUAGUAAUAGAAAUAAAAAUGGGGCCGCGCCGCGCCUCCACCAAGAAUGGGGUGGGUUUGGGCUGAGACAGUUGGAGAAGGGAAGAGGCUGAGACAAGUUGGAUCAGAGAAGAAGGCCUGGGUUUGUUGGUGGGGUUAGUUGGGUGUGGGUUGCGGUGGGUGUGUGGCUAGGGUAUGGUCGAGUGGGGUGGCUUGGUGGGUGUGGGUACUGGCGGACUCAAGAAUUGUUUAACAGAAGUGUAAUUUUGAUAGGCUAAAAACUUUAUAAUAAAAAAAAAUAUUGACAACUAAAUAUCAUUAUAAUUGAAACAUUAAGGGUCUUAGGCUAUGAUUAUGACUAAUUGACUAUAGUAUAUCAAUUAAUAUAGAAAUCAAUAUCAAAUCAUCAAUUAAUCUAAUGAAAAUCAGUAUCAAAUUAUUAAUGAAAUAAUCAAAUCAUAAUUGAUUGUAACUCGACUUGUGAGUCGCACAACCUCUUCAUUCUGAGUUUGCUACUAAUCAUAUGAAUACAACAGAGAGAGCAAAUUAGAAAAAAAAAAUUAAGAAAAUAUUUAAAACAAAAACAAAUUUCGCCUUUGCUCAAGAAGAAGAAAAAAAAAAAAAAAGCAUCAAACUUACUUUGGAGUUGUGCAAUUGGUGUUUGUUCCCUAACAAAAACGGUUGCUCAAAAUUGGUGUUAAUCCUUUAUCCUCCCAAUCCCACAUAAAUAAGGAGUUGUGCAAU